GGGGUUGGGGAUUUAGCUCAGUGGUAGAGCGCUUGCCUAGGAAGCGCAAGGCCCUGGGUUCGGUCCCCAGCUCCGGAAAAAAAAGUUUU
This 89-nucleotide non-coding RNA is filed under the name Rattus norvegicus (Norway rat). The stretch from base 7 to 75 matches the Rfam family "tRNA". From Rfam's summary of the family: Transfer RNA (tRNA) molecules are approximately 80 nucleotides in length. Their secondary structure includes four short double-helical elements and three loops (D, anti-codon, and T loops). Further hydrogen bonds mediate the characteristic L-shaped molecular structure. tRNAs have two regions of fundamental functional importance: the anti-codon, which is responsible for specific mRNA codon recognition, and the 3' end, to which the tRNAs corresponding amino acid is attached (by aminoacyl-tRNA synthetases). tRNAs cope with the degeneracy of the genetic code in two manners: having more than one tRNA (with a specific anti-codon) for a particular amino acid; and 'wobble' base-pairing, i.e. permitting non-standard base-pairing at the 3rd anti-codon position. The record is from RNAcentral. Lineage: Eukaryota; Metazoa; Chordata; Mammalia; Rodentia; Muridae.